CGGCAAGAGCUCAAAUUUGAAAGCUGGCUCCUUCGGGGUCCGCAUUGUAAUUUGCAGAGGAUGCUUCGGGAGCGGUCCCCAUCUAAGUGCCCUGGAACGGGCCGUCAUAGAGGGUGAGAAUCCCGUAUGGGAUGGGGUGCCCGCGCCCGUGUGAAGCUCCUUCGAC
RNAcentral lists this ribosomal RNA (166 nucleotides) under Penicillium decaturense. Its description in RNAcentral is "partial large subunit ribosomal RNA". It matches the Rfam family "Eukaryotic large subunit ribosomal RNA", at positions 99 to 261 of the family's 3401-position model. Lineage: Eukaryota; Fungi; Ascomycota; Eurotiomycetes; Eurotiales; Aspergillaceae. The record is from RNAcentral.